CCUACGGGGGGCAGCAGUGGGGAAUAUUGCACAAUGGGGGAAACCCUGAUGCAGCAACGCCGCGUGAAGGAAGACGGUUUUCGGAUUGUAAACUUCUGUUCUUAGUGAAGAAGAAUGACGGUAGCUAAGGAGCAAGCCACGGCUAACUACGUGCAAGCAGCCGCGUUAAUACGGAGGUGGCAAGCUUUUUCCGGAAUUACUGGGUGUAACGGGAGCGCAGGGGGGAAGCCAAGUCAGCUGUGAAAACUACGGGCUUAACUUGUAGAAUGCAGUUGAAACUGGUUUUUUUGAGUGAAGUAGAGGUGGGCGGAAUUCCGAGUGUAGCGGUGAAAUGCGUAGAUAUUAGGAGGAACACCGGUGGCGAAGGCGGCCAACUGGACUUUAACUGACGCUGAGGCUCGAAAGUGUGGGGAGCAAACAGGAUUAGAUACCCGGGUAGUC
Molecule: ribosomal RNA, 441 nt
Filed under: uncultured bacterium
Lineage: Bacteria
Description: partial 16S ribosomal RNA
Rfam family: Bacterial small subunit ribosomal RNA
Source: RNAcentral